UACGUAGGGGGCAAGCGUUGUCCGGAAUCAUUGGGCGUAAAGCGCGUGUAGGCGGCCAGAUAAGUCCGCUGUGAAAUCUCGAGGCUCAACUUCGAGCUGUCGGUGGAAACUGUCUGGCUAGAGUCCGGAAGAGGAGAAUGGAAUUCCUGGUGUAGCGGUGAAAUGCGCAGAUAUCAGGAAGAACACCCGUGGCGAAGGCGGUUCUCUGGGACGGUACUGACGCUGAGACGCGAAAGCGUGGGGAGCAAACAGG
Molecule: ribosomal RNA, 253 nt
Filed under: uncultured bacterium
Lineage: Bacteria
Description: partial 16S ribosomal RNA
Rfam family: Bacterial small subunit ribosomal RNA
Source: RNAcentral